AGUCUUGAUUAAGACCAGGAGUACACAGCGGAGCACCACCAACUGUCCAAAGAAAGGACCUCUCUAGGCGGUUGCAAGGCGAGAUCUCCAGGUCACGUUGUUACAAACAAACAAACAACAAACAAACAAAAGGUAUGUGUGGGGCAUGGUACAGAACAACGUGUAGCACGUGUUCGUUUUUGUGGGAGAACAGCACAAGUAGAAUGUACUUACAUACCCUAUUUUCUGUUUUUGUACUGGUAACAGACACCCAACCCACACAAACCCCCACGGCCUGUAGGGGGCGCAGAAAGACAGAGUACUGUAGAAGGAAGGGCAGAGCAAGUUUUCCACAGCACGCUUUUAAACGUAGUCAUCUUGCUUCUCGAACCAUGACUUGUGCUAGUCACACAGAAUUCGUGCAGACCUUCAGCACAGUUUACCAGGAACGCGUCCUCACCCAGAUGGAGAAGUCAGAUGGGACAAGGCUCCAGGAGCCCUCUCAGCUCUGCCCAAGUCGCCCCCCUUCCUGA
RNAcentral lists this long non-coding RNA (512 nucleotides) under Fukomys damarensis (Damara mole-rat). Its description in RNAcentral is "lncRNA (ENSFDAG00000024102.1)". The record is from RNAcentral. Lineage: Eukaryota; Metazoa; Chordata; Mammalia; Rodentia; Bathyergidae.